AAAUAGCACACACAUGGAUAAGAGAACACAAAAGACCAUGAGACAUGGAAAAAAGAGUCAAAUGUAAGGUGUCACGUACACCCAACAACGAGAAGAAUAAAGCAUUAUAUGUGAAAGUAGUCGAUUAAGGCUAGAUUCAUGAUGUUUUGUCUAAUAUGACUAGAUUUCUCUAUAAAUAAUUUAUUUUACCAUUCACUUAAAACAAAUAAUCAAUUAAACAAGACUAU
RNAcentral lists this long non-coding RNA (227 nucleotides) under Lathyrus oleraceus (garden pea). RNAcentral describes it as "Pisum sativum (pea) long non-coding RNA (PSAT_LNC029580)". Lineage: Eukaryota; Viridiplantae; Streptophyta; Magnoliopsida; Fabales; Fabaceae. The record is from RNAcentral.